UACGUAGGGUGCAAGCGUUGUCCGGAUUUAUUGGGCGUAAAGAGUUCGUAGGCGGUUUGUUACGUUAGGUGUGCAAACCCAGUGCUUAACACUGGGCCCACACUUGAUACGAGCAGACUUGAGUGUUGUAGGGGAGACUGGAACUCCUGGUGUAGCGGUGAAAUGCGUAGAUAUCAGGAAGAACACCGAUAGCGAAGGCAGGUCUCUGGGCAACAACUGACGCUGAGGAACGAAAGCGUGGGGAGAGACUAGGAUUAGAUACCCUAUUAUUCCACGCCGUAAACGUUGGGUGUUAGAUGUCGGAAGCCUUCCACGGCUUUCGGUGUCGUAGCUAACGCGUUAAACACCCCGCCUGGGGAGUACGGCCGCAAGGCUAAA
This 378-nucleotide ribosomal RNA is filed under the name uncultured bacterium. Its description in RNAcentral is "bacterial SSU rRNA". It matches the Rfam family "Bacterial small subunit ribosomal RNA", at positions 524 to 898 of the family's 1533-position model. The record is from RNAcentral.